Molecule: ribosomal RNA, 459 nt
Filed under: uncultured bacterium
Lineage: Bacteria
Description: partial 16S ribosomal RNA
Rfam family: Bacterial small subunit ribosomal RNA
Source: RNAcentral
CCUACGGGAGGCAGCAGUGAGGAAUAUUGGUCAAUGGCCGGAAGGCUGAACCAGCCAAGCCGCGUGAGGGACGACUGCCCCAUGGGUUGUAAACUUCUUUUAUCAGGGAAGAAUAAAUGCUACGUGUAGCAUGAUGCCUGUACCUUAUGAAUAAGCAUCGGCUAACUCCGUGCCAGCAGCCGCGGUAAUACGGAGGAUGCGAGCGUUAUCCGGAUUUAUUGGGUUUAAAGGGUGCGUAGGCGGACUGUUAAGUUAGUGGUAAAAGCUCGGGGCUUAACCACGGCGAGCCAUUGAUACUGGAUGUGUUGAGAUGUCGAGAGGUAGGCGGAAUGCGCAGUGUAGCGGGGAAAUGCUUAGAUAUUGCGCAGAACUCCGAUGGCGAAGGCAGCUUACCGGCGGCGAUCUGACGCUGAGGCACGAAAGCGUGGGUAUCGAACAGGAUUAGAUACCCCAGUAGUC